This 74-nucleotide small RNA is filed under the name Xanthomonas hortorum. RNAcentral's name for it is "sX9 sRNA". It matches the Rfam family "Xanthomonas sRNA sX9". The record is from RNAcentral. Lineage: Bacteria; Pseudomonadati; Pseudomonadota; Gammaproteobacteria; Lysobacterales; Lysobacteraceae.
AUAGCCACUCGUACACCCCGGUUCCUCCGUGCCGUCCGCACCACCUGUGGACUGCUCGCUACGUUUUGUUAGCC